Molecule: long non-coding RNA, 17970 nt
Filed under: Setaria italica (foxtail millet)
Lineage: Eukaryota; Viridiplantae; Streptophyta; Magnoliopsida; Poales; Poaceae
Description: long non-coding RNA (SITA_LNC005459)
Source: RNAcentral
GUUGCUCUGGUAUGUGCCACCGGUUACUGAAACACCAUUAACAAUGGAGAAACGGAUGUACGGCAAAGUCCUGUUCCAAAUGAACAUCUGAAGGUUAAAGGGGGGAUCCAUGCUGCAAGAGAUAUCACCGGUUGAUGGAUCAUCAGGGCCCUUCCAAGCAAAGAAGCGUGUUGCCGCCGACUGUGCUUUGUAGCUCAGGAUAAGCCUCAUGGUUGGAAGCGUUGUGUCGGUCGGGUGAUCAAAGCUUUGCCAUAUGUCCCUGCCGUUUGGUAACCGAAGGACAAAGUUUCCGGAGUUGAGUAUUACCGCAAAAGCUCCAGCACCUCCCCUUGUGUUGUUCGUCUUCCAAAUACUUCGGCCUUGGGAAUCUGAUAACAUUAACUCUGAAUUGUUGGUGAUGGCGAGCUUCGCUGAUGAAGGGGAGUUGAUUGGGUUGUCACGGUUGGCGACCCACACCACGGUGCGCUCUGGGAUACUAUUGUACCAAAUUCCGAUGUAUAACUUGCGACUCGAAUUGGUUGGGGAGAAGAAACCAAGAGCAAAGUCCCCGCCCUCUGAAACGAGCUUGUCUUUGAGGAAGAGUGGCUUUGCUUGUGUUAGCUGGUCGUUGGAUUGGCAGAGAGAACUAAAGAAUACGAGGAUGAAGAUGGGAAUAUACACCAUAUCCAUCAUGAGGCCUCUGCUCCUCGUUGGCCGAUGAACUACUAUGAAGCAGUGUGAAGAACAUGGCGUGUAGUAUGUAUAUGAAGAAUAAAAGUUGGACCGGAGAUGUGUGGAACUGGUUUUUCUGUCUGACAAAUCAAAACGUGGCUUUCAUCAAGCGUAAGGAUGAUGGCGAACCCUUAUUCAGAGACUUAACAGAUGAAGGAGCUAGAGAACCUAUACUAACAACGAACCAACGAGCAGGUCGGACUAGCAUCAGUUUAGUGGUAGGUAACUCAAAUGGUAUCCGACGACUUUGUGGUCAAGAACGUGGUCCGGGAAGUCAAAGGUGGCUUCUUGGAAGAUCCCAAGUCCAAGAUACGCGCACGGGAUUCCAAGUCCAAAUAGACUGGCAACACCUUCCUUGCAGAUCUCCACAAACGCCUAGACAGCCAAGCCGGUGACCACAUUGAUCGUCUCCGACUACGACGACUUCGUUGGUCACGCGUCGUGGCCGCACGGGCAGGGAUCGGGCAAGCGGCCAGGCGCGCCGCACUGGAACGGCUUACAGGUAGCAAGAUUAUGCUGACGCUGGAUGCCGGAGAACACCGAAUUCAGUAGGCCGUACAACGAUUAUUAGAAGACAUGGACCGCGCUGGAUACGUUCUUGGAUCCUUUGGUCUCUCUCGAUCGGGUGCGCGCAUCGCUUUAUUCGGCCCCUGCCCCGGUGCCAACCAGGCCGCGGUCAGGUCGGCGGUGGCAAAGUGGCAGUGUGGGCAUGCUUUCUGGUCUGCUUUAAUCAGCCGGAGGCUGGAACUGUAAUACUAUUAGUGAAUGAAUAUUGGGUACAAAACUCGAGCGGAGACGCAGUGCCGGGAGCCAGACAAGCAACAGCGCCUGAAGGCUAGAGCUGCCGUCACGCGCCUGUGCGGUGCGCGGCCAUGCCUUGCGCGUCUUCGCCGGCGAGCAACUGAAGAGAAAGGUGGACCGCCUCAUUGGGAAUUAAAAUGCAUUGUCUGGAAUGAAUACCAUUGGUACCACUCACUACAAUAUCAUUCACAAAUUUUUAUCCGUCCAAUCAAAUCCAGUGUUACACACAUGAUAAGCUCACAGCCACCUAACAAGAAGAAAUUCACUUGUCCAUACACAGUUUUGCAAUGAAUAAUUCAGGUGGGGUUUGUGCUCUCCAGAGACGUAAAAGAAGAAAGCAUCUAGCGGCCCUCUAGUGUAGUGAGGUUCAUGUCAUUUAUGGACGGUUCCCUGCUAUCACCGGACUUUCCAGGUUCGUAGUCCCCAAGUGCAAAAUAUACAGGUUGCUUCGGUGUUGGAAGUGAGGUCGUUUUGUUCUCUAGCAUGAACACAACCUCCGACAUGAGUGGCCUGCAGUUCGGCCUGUCUUGAACACACAAGAGUGCUAUGUGGAUGCAUCGUGAAACUUCAUCGAGGGAGCAAUCCUUCACUACAGAUGAGUCCACCAAAUCUUCUAUUGUCCCAUCUUUCCACAAGUUCCAUGCCUGAACAUUGACAUAAUUUCACAGUCAGCGCAUAUUUUGUUUCCUGUGUGUACUGUUGCCGUUCUGAAUUCUGAGAAUCUCCCAGUACUUACAUAUGCUAUAAGGUUAGGAAAAUCCAUGAUAAGAUGUGGUGAGCUGAUCUUUAAACCACUUACAAUCUCCAACAUUAGAACACCAAAGCUGUAGGUGUCAGACUUUACUGAAAACGUACCUUCCAUCGCAUAUUCAGGAGACAUGUAACCACUGUGCAUGCAAAUGAUUUUACCAAAAGGAUUGCAUAUUUUUGUAACUGUAAGGAAAUCAAAUCUAUCUGAAAAGUUGGCAGUGCAGGAGUCACUUACUAUGUUCCUACAACUCGGUUAGUAUUUGCUUGGAGCUGGUCACCACAGAAUAUCCUAGCCAUGCCAAAAUCUGAUAUCUUUGGGCUCAUCUCCUUAUCUAACAAGAUGUUGCUUGCUUUCAGAUCUCUAUGGAUUAUAGUUAACCUUGAGUCCUGAUGGAGAUACAUCAUUCCUCUAGCGACCCCCUGGAUUAUCUUGAACCUUGUCAGCCACUGAAGCACUGAUUUUCUUGUAGCGUCUAAUAAGAAUAGCAGGAAACAAAGAAUGUCAGAAGGGUAUGUGCACAUUUACUUGUUGGAUUUUUUUAAAGAAACACUUAUCAGUUUUUAUUAACAAUAUGAACAUUUUGAAAUAGGAUGUACCAAAGAGGAAGUAAUCCAAGCUUUUGUUGGGCAAGUACUCAUAAACUAACAGCUUCUCAUCUUCAUGAAUACAACAACCAAUAAGCUUAACUAGGUUCUUGUGCUGCAACUUUGCAAUCAAGACUACUUCAUUUCUGAACUCCUCUGUCCCUUGCCCAGAACCCUUGCUAAGUCUCUUGAUGGCUACUUCCUUGGUGCCUUCCAACAUUCCCUACAAUUUCAUCAUGCAGAUAUUCAGAUUUUUUUAUUUCUGAUAAUAUAGUUUUCAAGGUAAAACUUUUUACUAGUACCUUAUAUACUUUGCCAAAACCUCCUUGCCCAAGCAUAUUGCAAUCAGAGAAAUUGUCCGUUGAUGUGACGAUGUUUUCAAAGCUAAUAAAUGGGAACUCUAUAUUCUUAUCCCCAGCUUCAUCCGCGGAAUUCAAGUAGUCCAGCAUUAUUCUCUUCUGAACUUUCUUCUUUUGGCGUUCGCCUGGUGGUAGAAACUAGAAACAUCAAUGGAUUCCUUUUUUUCCUUUCCUCAUCACUUACACGGUAAAGUAGCAUGAGGGUUCUUUUCUCUGUACCUCUUCUUUUACAUGUGCAGACGAGGGCUCCGAAUGCGACUAGCAGCAGACAUGCUGUAAUUGGGAGUAAAAUCUUCAGCAAAUUGCUCUUCUUUUGAACUGUGCACGGAAAUGUAUCCUGUCAGAAUUUUUUUUUUGAAAGAACAGGAGGGGGCGCACCCCUACUGAUUAAUAUAUUGAAAGGAAAAGGAGAUUACAAAGAGUUCACGAUUACAAAUCAGAAAGAAAGGAAGUCUAAAAACGACUGAGCAAAACUAACAGAAAGAAGGGAAAGCAAAGAACAACUUCGUAUUACAAGUCAUCUAGCCAUGCUUCCAUCGAAGGCAUAAAGCGUCUCUUGCAAUUGUGUGAGUGUACUUUUUUUAUGUAAUGUGUGGGUUUACUAUGCACAGGGUUCCAUAGCUGAUCUAUGAAAUCUUUACCUCUAAAAGAUGGGCCUGAGGAAACCUAAUUAUCACCCAAACAGAUAUCCCGGAUAUAGAGCACAAACGAAAUGAGAGCCCCCCCCCCUCCCCAGCGCCAGCCCCCCUCGUUCCGCCGCCGCCGCGCCGCCCACCGUUGCCGGCGUCAACCCAAGCCUACCUCCGCGGAGCCCCACCGAAGCCGACCCUCAACCAGAACCCACGACCCCGACCCCCACUAUCCCCAUCCUCAACGAGAGCCUGGGAGCAGUUCGCCAAUGGCUCCCCACCGCCACCUCCGCGGUUCCACCGACGGCCGCCGCCCGAGGUCGAUUGGGUGCCGGACUCGCCGGAUCCGCGAGUCACCUCGCCGGAUCUGAAGAUCCCCCUACAGGAUCUGCUACCUGCUGGCUCCAGGCUCCCCCCCAUCGCGACGGACGGGACACGGUCCUAUGCGGAGGUCGUCAGAGGGAGAGGAAGAGUCUUCAAUACUCCAGCUGCCCGCGCACCUCUACGCCGCCAUGGUGACGACAGCUCUACUACCCAUGGGAGAUGGAGUAAAUCCGACGACAAGACAACCACGCGGCGCAAUCAAGACACCACGCCAGUGACUCCGCCCCCCAGACCUCCGUACGGCGGUGUAAUGGGAACAUUGCAGCACAAUCCGGAUCUCCAUGCCUGGCAAACUGUGAAGAGUCGUCGGAUGCGGCGGCAAGCGCGGCCCGAGACGUCGCGACGCGACGGCGGACAUGACCGGAGCUGCAGAGACCAUUCAAGACGGCCAGCAAGCCGGGCUUUGCUCGACUUUAAACGGGCAACACAGGGCCGCUGCUUCCGCUGCCUCGCCCACAACCACCUCACCUCUGCGUGCCGCGACCCGGUGCGCUGCUUCCGGUGCCGGCGCUUCGAGCACAGGGAGCGCGAGUGCAGAGCAGGGCGGCAGCAACCUCGCCGGAGAUCUGAGCUCCAGGGACCUCCACGCACACCCACACCACCUGAAAAGCCAAGCGACGCCACUCCCGACCACCGCCCGCCGCCUAACAACUCCAAAUCUCCAACUCAUCGCCGCCACUCCAAUCGCCGCCACCCCUUCCCGGAGCCCCACCAACUACAACCAAGAGCCGCCACAACCAAAAUGGCCAUAGGCGACCCGAACACACGGCCGGAAGUUGAGACGGUGUUCGUCUCCACAACUUUCCACCUUGAGCAUGACGCACGGGACUGGGAAGCCUGUGCGCUUGUCCCGUGGGCACUGCAUCUGCCGCCGGAUGCCGGCGCCAGGGACAUUGCCGCCCUCCUCACCAGAGAGCUCCAUCUGCGGCCCGGUGAUGUUGCCGUCACCCUCCACCAGCCCGAGCCGUACCUCAUCAGGUUCGAGCAAGCUGAACAUGCGGCGGAGGCGCGACGGCGGGGAAGAUUCACAGGAGCCGGCAUCGACAUCUGCCUCCGCACCUGGAGAAGCCUCACCCACACCCUCGGAUUCCGCAUCUUCUACAGAGUUCGACUCUGCCUCGACGGAAUCCCAGCCCACGCUUGGACACCGGAGAUCGUCGAGCGCGUCAUCGGCCACAAGUGCGCCCUGCAGCACAUCGUCACCGAUCUCCUUCAACCGGCGGACUCCAGACACAUUGAGCUGUGGGCUUGGACAGUCGAUCCAAGCGAAAUCCCGAAGAAGGUAUGGCUUGCAUUCACUCAUAACCCAACAGCAAGAUCAUCUACCUUUGCAGUCUCGGCCGAGCCCUCGCAGCUGCCCUGGCAGCAAGGGACUCGGUAUGAGGUCUUCAUCCACUUGCCCCUUCUGGAGGACUACUCGGCGGCGGCACAGGAUCUCCAGUAGGCCAUCGACAAUCCGCAGAGCAUCAUCCCCAUCAGGCGUCGCUAUGAGUGGCGCUACGGGCUUGUUGACGGUGCGCCCUCUGAUGCACGGUCGCGCUUCCUGGCGCAACUUCCUCGACCGCCGCGUGAACACCCCAGCGCGGACCCAAGCGGGGGACGGCGAGCUCCUGCGGCCGGCUGCAGAACAGAGCAUGGCGACCGACCUGUGGCUGAUGCUGGGGAAGGCGAACGGCGGCGCGACACCUCCACCCAUCAAGAUCAACGCACCAGAGAAGACCGCCCCAGGCGUCGGCCGGCGAGGCAGCGCUGUGAUGAUCGGCCAUUCACCUGGCCGUCCCGCCACGACGGCGAUGACGACGACCACGAAAGCGACUACGAGCACCCAGGACAGGGGCGGCACGUCGACUCCGACUACUGGGGGUGCGCGGGAACGGUACACCGUGACCGCACACGCUCCCCCCCACGGCACAACUAUGCGCCUCUGCAGGGACGGCGACAUGACGCCGGCACACUGGGGCUCGCCAGCCUAGCUCCAUCCCAGCUUCAAGCACUCUUCACGGCGCAGGCGGCAACCUUGAAGAACUACAUCCAGAGCCAGGUAAUUGAGGCACCCCCCUCGACUGACAUCUCCACCUUGGAUGCCAGGACACGCUUCUGGCACGCCGGCGCCGAUGAGUACAUCCGCAAGGCGUGCCGGCUUGCCGACCGGCUCGGCAUCGAGGAGGCGGCGCCGGGGGAGAAAGCCUGGUCCGAUCCAGUCCCACUGCCGCAGGUCUUCAACACACUUCGCACGGCGCUGCUGCAGGAACCGGCGGCCUCUCCGACAGUUGAAGAAGUUAGCCGGGCCCUAGAUGCGCUGGGCGUUCAGGCCGGCUGGGAUCGCCAGCCUAAGCAGGCCGCGGCCCAGCCAGGCAGUUCGCCUGGCAGGGAGGCCCAACAGGCGACGCCUGACGCUCCGACAGUUGAGGACGUCAGCUGGGCCCUCGAUGCGCUGGCUGUUGAGGCCGGAUAGGUUCGCCAGCCUAAGCAGGCCGCGGCCCAGCCAGGCAGCUCGCCUGGCAGGGAGGCCCAACAGGCGACGUCUACCGCACCAGCCCAAUGUGAGGGCCCAUCUCCACCAGAGCUAGAGCACCUGAGCUACAACUUAGCCCAUAAACUAAACACUGAGCAAGCCAUUGUGGUCCAUCAAAUGAAAUCAACACCGAUCCAUUACCACCGCAGAUCAAGGCCGGCCCAUACCAUAACGCCGGAACGGCCCAACCCAAAUCAGUCACCCCCAACCGCGCCACUGAUCAAGCUAGCGCCACAAAUUGACAACCUUUUUGCAACACCGCCGCCACCAGCCAUAAAGCAAGCCCCACCGCAACGCGCGCGAAAAGGUCGCACCUUCGACAUGACUAAAGUUCGGCGGAGUGCACGCCUAGCUAAAAAACCAGCUCUGCCAGCUGUAGAGCGCGCACAGCGUAACCUUUGCAAGAAACUAGGUGUUGACACUGAUGAGAUGAUGCCAAUGGAACAGGUUUUGCAGGACUUCAUUAACAUGUUUCAGGGGCCACUGCCGGACUACAUCAUAUCUGCCAUGACCGUCCUCUUCGACCUCGACGACGAAGCGGCGGACCAAGCAAACGAAGCACUUCUGCAGAUGGCAGGCGCUGAUGUGGGUGACCUUCAGGAGAUGGACCAUGCGGCUGCAUGACCUUCUGUCGCGGCAACUUCGUCAAGCGUCUAUUUACCAGUUUAUGUAUCGCUACUGUUAUGUACCUUAUAAUUAUGUUCCUCACCCUGCUGGCUGCGACCUUCGGGGAGGACUCCACUCACGCCCUGCUGGCUGCGACCUUCGGGCGAAAACAGUGAACGACACACUAUGCCCCGCCCACGACAAACCUAAAACGACUACGCCUUUAAUCACUACUACAGAAUGCGCCAAUGAACAGGAGUCAUCAACGCCGGCAACUCAGAACACAGAGAAGCACAUCCACGGAGUUACUAACUUACGAGUCCCACUGGCAUGGCUGCAUCAAUUGCUACAGAAAAUGCACUUCGGCCACUCCGCCUUUGCGCGCCAAAAAGUUACCUUCCAUGAGUAGCAAUUUUCAAAUAAUGAGCUGGAACGUGAGAGGGUUAAACGCUCCGGCAAGAUGUCUCACAGUUCGCGAAACCAUUGCGGCCACAGCAUGCCGCAUUAUAUGUCUGCAGGAAACAAAAUUACAAAGUAUUGAUAAGACGCUAGCAAACCUACUAGGGGGACCUCGCUUAGCUAAUUUCACAUAUCAAGCGGCUUCAGGUACAAAAGGUGGUAUACUACUACUCUGGGACGAACGAGUUUUUGACAUACAGGACAUCCAAACAAGUCGGUUUUUCAUCUCAGCAACAACAAUAGUUAAGCACAGUAACGUUCGGUUCCAACUCACGACGGUAUACGGCCCAACAUGGCACUCAGCAAAGCCUGCAUUCCUACGCCAACUGCGAACAAUGGCGCCCGACGACACCACUCCAUGGCUAAUACUGGGCGAUUUUAACUUAAUCUACAGCGCAAGAGACAAGAACAAUAACAACUUAAAUCAGAAGCUUAUGAGAAUAUUCAGAUCAACACUGAAUUAUUGCGGACUUAAAGAAAUUCACCUACAAAACAGACGAUUUACCUGGAGCAAUGCAAGACAUCAGCCGACGCUAACGCGAAUCGAUAGAGUUUUCUGCAACGCAUCUUGGGAUAUAAAAUUUGAUGAUCACGUCCUUCACCCCUUAUCUUCUUCGUACUCGGACCACUGUCCACUGCUACUCGCGCAACAUUCGGGACCUCGCAAACCGACACCAUUCCGAUUCGAAAAUUUUUGGACGCGGCUACCAGAUUCUAUGAGACCGUAGCCAAAGAAUGGUCAAAGCCGACUACCCAUACUGAGCCGUUCCAUAGACUGGGCUGUAAACUGCGCAACACUGCCCGCGCACUAAGAUCCUGGAGCCGAACGCACGUCUCCGACGCCCGUUUAAAACUGCAUAUGGCACAAGAAGUCAUCCUGCGCCUUGAUGAAGCUGAGGAAGCAAGAACGCUCACGGAACCAGAACACAACAUACGAAGCAAACUCAAAACGCGACUUCUGGGAUGGGCGGCCGUAGAGAAAAUGCGAAGGAAGCAGUGGUCCAGGAUAACCUACCUGCGAGAAGGUGAUGCGAAUACUAAGUUUUUCCACCUCAAGGCAAAUGGGAGGAGGCGGAAAAACUUCAUCCAACGACUGAAGAGGGGAAAUAACUGGGCAGUAACGCACUUACAAAAACAGCAAAUCGUCCAAGACCACUUCGACAACGUGAUGUCCGCUCCUCCUACUCACACCAGAACCUUCAACUGGGACAAGCUACAUUUCCCAGUAGUGGAUCUAGCCGGAAUUGACAACCCUUUUUCAGAUAAGGAAAUACAAAAUGCAAUAACUGCCCUACCCAAAGAUAAAGCGCCAGGCCCAGAUGGCUUCACUGGAUUGUUCUUUAAGUCAUGCUGGGAUAUCAUCAAAGGAGACGUUAUUGCGGCAGUAAAUGCUUUCCAUGCUGGGAGAUGCAAUGACUUAAACCUACUUAACACAGCAGCCAUUGUCUUGGUACCCAAAAAGGAUGGAGCUGAAACCAUAAGUGACUUCAGACCGAUCAGCCUUAUACAUGCAAUAGCAAAGAUCAUUACCAAAGUGCUGGCAACUAGGCUUCAGCCCUACAUGGACAAAUUGAUUUCGCCAAGCCAAAGUGCCUUCAUCAAAGGGCGAAGCAUCCACGAUAAUUUCCUGUAUGUUCGGAACAUGGCAAGAAGGUUUCACAGGCACGGAACGCCGACACUGCUAAUGAAGCUGGACAUCUCAAAGGCUUUUGACUCCGUUCGCUGGGACUACCUGCUUGAAUUACUGCAACAUAGAGGAUUUUCUGCACGAUGGCGUAACUGGAUCACGGCAUUACUGGUCACAUCAACCUCCAAAGUCCUAAUAAAUGGAAUUCCAUCCGACGCAAUUGUGCAUGGGCGAGGCCUACGACAAGGAGACCCCCUCUCUCCCUUCCUUUUCAUCCUGGCGAUAGACCCACUGUACCAAUUAAUACACACGGCGACAGGAAUGGGAUUACUUAAAAAACUAGGCGGACGCACGCCGCGCACUAGCAUCUCUAUGUACGCCGAUGAUGCGGCUAUCUUCAUAAAACCAACAAAGGAAGAUGUCACAAAUAUCACAAAACUCCUACAUUUAUUCGGAGAGGCCACAGGACUCCACACAAAUCUGGAAAAGAUAGCAGUGGCUCCCAUCAGCUGCAAUAAUGUAGACCUUGACGAAAUCCUAUCCGAAUGGCCAAUCACUCGCACCGGCUUCCCAUUAAAAUACCUCGGAUUACCACUUGCGAUACGGCGCUUAAGGAAAGUUGACUUCCAACCCCUGAUAGACAAGGCAGCUAAAAAACUAUCUGGGUGGCAAAAUCGCAACAUCACACAAGCAGGACGAGUCUGCCUCGCCAAAGCUGUGCUUUCUGCGCAACCUUUAUAUCUACUAACUGUAUUAAAACCAUCAAGCGAAGUCCUGGAAGAGCUAGAUAAAAUAAGGAAGCGAUUCAUCUGGGCCGGAGACAGUUUGCUAACAGGGGGCAAGUGCAAGGUCAACUGGAUCAAAACCUGCUUACCCAAAGAAAAUGGCAGACUAGGAGUGCUGAACCUUCAUAAUUUUGCUAGAGCACUGCGACUACGAUGGAUCUGGCAUGAGUGGGAGUCCCCAGGGAAAACAUGGAUUGGACUGGACAUCCCAUGCGACGACUCUGAUCAACGCUUAUUCGCGGCUUGCACAGUUAUCACAGUGGGAAAUGGACGCAAAGCAAGCUUCUGGCACUCAGCUUGGGGAAGGGGUACCCGCCCGAAGGACAUUGCACCCAACAUAUACAAGCUAUCCAGGGGGAAGCACAAAACUCUUGCAGAGGCAUUACACAACAAUAAAUGGGUGACAGACAUAAACAUCCACGCCGGCCUAACAACGCAACACUUACAAGAAUUCAUCAUACUAUGGCGACUAGUAGCGACAGUGAACCUCCAAGCACAACAAGAGGACACACUAAGCUGGAAAUUCACAAAAAAUGGACAAUACUCAGCGGCAUCAGCGUACAAGGCACAGUUCUUCGGAUCCACUUAUGCACCGCACAGUAAAACAAUAUGGAAAUGCUGGGCACCACCGAAAUGCAAAUUUUUCGCCUGGCUGAUAUUACAGGACCGGGUUUGGACAGCUGAUCGGCUGGCGCGCAGAGGCUGGCCGCAAUCACCAAAUUGCCCUCUAUGCCGAGUACAUCAGGAGACAGCACAUCAUCUCCUGGCACAAUGCAGAUACACCAAGCGAAUAUGGAGUCUUAUAGCCACCUGGGCCUCGCAACCCAGUCUACACCCUUCGGAAUGGCCCCCAUCUGACAAUGCUCUUGAGUGGUGGAUAAAUAUGACUACAAGGACUGAAGCUCCUCGGCAAGGAGCUUGCUCUAUGGGCCUGCUGGUAAUAUGGGAAAUUUGGAAGGAACGCAAUCGACGAAUAUUCAACCAUCAAGGGAUGACCGCAACCUCCCUGCUGGCACAGAUCAAAGCGGAAGCAGACACAUGGAUUUUAGCAGGGGCGAGAACACUAGCGUUGUUAUUAUCUAGAGAGUAGUCGCGAUACAAAUACAAACGGAAACUUUGUAUCUCUCCUGUAACAAUCUGUAAUCUGUAAUUAUCUACUCUCUCAAUGAAAUAGGCACUAUCCCGUGCCCAUUCGUUCAAAAAAAAAAACAGAUAUCCCGUGGAUAUUACUGAUUGGGCUUUUGAUAUCAUGGUAAGAUCAGUCUAGUUGUAUCCAGCUAAACUUCUUCUUCUUUUUCUUUUUGCUACUUUGUUGGAGUCCAAACAAACACAAAGACAUAUGGUAUACUGUUAUGGCUUAUUUGAUGUCAAAUAGUUAUGUUUCAAAAUUCAUUUAGAGCCUGCUGUGAUUUUAGGGCUUGUUGAGAAAGAGGAUACUGGAAAAAAUACUCAUUGGGAUUUCUUCUAAAACAUUUUGGAGCAUUCUCAAACUUACUAGCAUCUCACAAAUUAACAGGCCUUAGAGCGGCCCGUGUUGACUGAUGAUCUGGAAUAUUGACACACUGAGCACAAAUGUCACUUCAUGGAAAAGAAAUUAAGAUGAGAUGUACUGGAACGUGCAUACCAGGAGAUUCGCCAAGCCUGAUGUACAAGUUCUCUGCAAAGCUGGCCUUCUCCAUGUCGAUGAGAUCCCCGGUCCAAACCAAACACCUCGAUGUGUCGCCCGUAAUGCCAUCAUUGCUUAGGUUGGCGUAGGCAUAUGCCACACACGAGCAAUUUCUCGUGCACUCGGAUGCACACUCGUCCAAGCUUCUAUUCCUAAUGUGCAAGAAUUUGUCAGGGACCUUCAUAUUAGGCAUGGUCGUGAAAUAGUUCUCCUUUCCACAUCUUAGAGCUUCCUUUCGCUUGCAUCCUCUGGAGAAGUUGAGACUGUCUAAGAGCUCGAACCCAUCAGGGCACCGGCAUGUUGGGGCAGCAGUCAUGUCGCAGUAACCGAACGGGCCACACGAGGCAUAGAGGUCACAGCCUCUGGGGCUAUAAGAAGCAAGUGUCCACGACAAGGUGGUGUUGUUCCAGCUCAGGAGGCUCAAGUUGCCUCUGUAGUCAAGCAAGAUGCGUGUGUAGGGUGAUCCAUCAGAGACUGUGUAGGAGAAGUAGAACCCAUCCCCCCUGUAGUACAGAAGCUGGGACAUGACAGAGGUAGUGUUGCUCUGGUACGUGCCGCCGGAUACUGACACUUCGUUAAUAACCUCGGGGCGCUUGUACGGCAGACUCCCCUUCCAGAUGAAGAUUUGAAGGUUCGAGCUGGGAUCCAUGCCUACGGAGAAGUCCCCACUAGAUGGAUCAUCAGGACCCUUCCAAGCAACGAGGCGUCCAAACACCUGUGCCUUGUAGCUCAGCAAGAUCCUCGUGUUUGGAAGUAUGGUGUCGGUGGGAUGAUCCAUGCUUUGCCAUAUGUCUGUGCCGUUGAGCAACCGGAGCACAAAGUUACCUGUGUCGAGUAGAACCGCGACAGCUCCAGGACCUCCAGUGGUGGUGGUGUUCGCCGUCAUCCAAACAGUGCGGCCAUCGGAGUCGAACAACACCAGCUCUGAAGUAUUGGUGACUGUGAGCUUCACCAAUGAAGAGUUGGAGAUUGGGCUGUCACGAUUGGCGACCCACACGACGGUGCGCUCUGGGUCGGGGAUGUUGUGGUACCAGAUUCCAAGGUAUAAACUCCUGCUGGAGUUGGUUGGGGAGAAAAAGCCGAGAGCAAAGACUCGCCCCUCAGAGAUGAGCAUGUUGCCAGGGGAGAGUGAGGUUGCUUGUGUUAGCCGGUCGUUGGACUUGGACUCGCAGAAAGAACUCAGGAUCAAGAAUAGGAGGAAGAAAACAUGAAGGUUGGCCAUGUCCAUUAGCUUCUCUCCUGGUUAUUGGUUGCCUCUGAAGUGUGAAGACAGUAGCAUAUAGCCAUGGAGUAGUUGGACCGGGAGAAAUAGAUGCAUACUUUGGAGUUUGGAUUAUCUUCCUGACUAAAGGCGUCAAAUCAAAACGUGGCACUCGCAUGUUUAAGACGCUGAUAACUGUAGGACGGAAAAGUCUGCAAUAAUUCAAUCCCGUCCCCGUGAGACUGAGGGGGUGUUUGGGAGUAGGGGAAUUUUAAUGUUUGGACACUAAUUAGGAGUAUUAAACCUAGACUAAUUAUAAAACUAAUUACACAACCCCUAGGCUAAAUCACGAGACGAAUCUAUUGAGCCUAAUUAGUCCAUAAUUUGACAAUAUGAUGCUACAUUAACCAUUCGCUAAUGAUGGAUUAAUUAGGCUCAAUAGAUUCGUCUCGUGAUUUAGCCUAGGAGUUCUGCUAUUAGUUUUGUAAUUAGUUCAUAUUUAGUCUUCCUAAUUAGCAUCCGAGUAUCCGAUCUCAAACACCUCCUGAUACUUCAACGCACUACCUAAUGCUAUAAUUCAUAACGUGAUAAGCAAUUCGUCCUCAUACUCAUAACAAUUCAAUUUGAAGCUCGAAACAAUUCAACCUUGGAGCAUGCAUGCAUAUGACCAGUCACGUGCCAUCCUUGGUAACGUGGUGUUGGAGGCCGUGUAGUUCUGAUUACCCACUUCCAUCACUUGAAAAGCAUGGAUUUGAGUUUGACCCGUGCGCAAAAUGGUUGGAUUUCUAUAUUUUUGAAAGACCCAUCACUACCUAGCUAAUGAAAAGGUGCUUGGCUUGCUAUCUUUUUUUUUAAGGGCUUGCUACACUAUUUUGUUCAGUUUCCUCGGGCUGUACAAAGAUCUGAACAUCAGUGGGCCACAAAUGCUCAAGAGAUGGGUCGUGCUGGACACGUUGUGGGCCGGGACACUUUAGUUUAGUCUCAGAAGCGAGAGCAGGUUUUAGGCCCAAAUAAGUGGAGCCAACGUCACCGCGGCGGCGGCGAGGACGACGGCGAAGUGGCAGAGGUCGCUGAGGCGGCGGAGUCGCGAUCGGGCCGCCAUCUCGGGGAAGGAAAAGAGGGGACAGACACCGCCUUUCCUCCGGUCGUUGUGCGGCCUGACGAGCCCAAUCCCCCGUCGGCAACUCGACGCCAGGGCCAGGUUCGCGACCGUCGCCAUCAUGGGACCAGGUACUGUGCGACGCCAGAGCCUGAUAGGAGCUGAUCUUCUGCAGAAAUAUCCUAUCCAAUCCCACCCCCACCCACACACACAAUAUUAAGAUCCUUUCACUCCGAAAUGCCUCCCUUUGAAUACCUUGUCUGAAAAAUGUAUCAUAUCAGCUUCCUUAAAUACACAUGCUCAACUCAAAUCCAGUGUGGCAUGCUUUCUGUAAAAUAAGUUCACAGACAGUACAACCACUAACUUCUCCAUAUACAGUAAGGACUUAUUACAAUGUUGUGAUUGCUGAAAUAAUUCAUGUAGAGUAAAAGUUGUCAUUGAAUAUCUAACGACCCUCUAAUGCCGUGAGGCUCAGGCCAUUCAUGGAUGACUCCGUGUUGUCACCGGCCUUUUCAGAACCCUGUGGUGAAAAAUAUACAGGUUGUUUUGGUGCUGGAAGUGGUGUUGAUUCAUUCUCCAACAUGAACACAACGGUUGACAUGAGCGGCCUACAGUUGGGACUGUCUUGAACACACAAAAGUCCUAUGUGGACGCAUCUUGAAACCUCGUGGAGGGAACAAUUAUCCAUAACAGUUGAGUCCAAGAAAUCCUCUGUUUUGCCAUCUUUCCACAACUUCCAUGCCUGAACAGAGACAAUUUCACAGUGAGCUCACUCCUAUUUUUUACUAUGGUUAGUUGUAGUUCUGAAUCAUGAGCAUCUCGUGAUACUUACAUAUGCUAUGAGGUUAGGAAAAUCCAUUAUAAGAUGUGGUGAGCUGAUCUUUAAUCCACUUACAAUCUCCAGUAGUAGAACACCGAAGCUGUAGGUGUCAGAUUUAACUGAAAAGAUGCCUUCCAUUGCAUAUUCACGGGACAUGUAGCCACUGUGCAAAUUAUUUCCCUAUUAAGAUUUUCGUAGUUUUGAAAACUGCAAGCAUUGAGAAUUGGUACUGGGAGUUACUUACUAUGUCCCUACAACUCGAUUUGUAUUUGCUUGGAUCUGCUCACCACAAAAUAUCCUAGCCAUGCCAAAAUCUGAUAUCUUAGGGAUCAUCUCUUUAUCUAGCAAAAUGUUGCUUGCUUUCAGAUCUCUAUGGAUUAUUGUUAAUCUUGAAUCUUGGUGGAGGUAAAGAAUUCCUCUAGCAAUUCCUUGAAUUAUCUUACGCCUUGUCGGCCAUUGAAGCAGCGGUUUUCUUGAAGAGUCUAGUAAGUGUAGCAUGAAAAAGGACAUAUUACGAGGCAUAUACGGACAUAUUUAUUUGUUGGGUUCUAGGAUUAUUCACAGUAUGAAAAAAAUUCUAUAUUGAAGUUUACCAAAGAGGAAGUAAUCCAAGCUUUUGUUGGGUAAGUAUUCGUAAACUAGCAACCUUUCAUCUUCAUGAAUACAGCAACCAAGGAGCUUAACUAGGUUCUUGUGCUGCAAUUUGGCUAUCAAGAUUACUUCAUUUCUGAACUCAUGUGUUCCUUGUCCAGAUCCCUUACUAAGUCUCUUGAUGGCUACUUCAUUUGCACCUUCCAACAUUCCCUACAGGAGUUCACCACCUAGUAUCACAAAAAAAAAUUAAUGCAAUUAUCAAGGUAAAAUAGUUCACCAUCUUUACCUUGUAAACUUUGCCAAAGCCUCCCUUCCCAAGCAUAUUUGAGUCGGAGAAAUUGUCCGUGGCCAAAACAAUGUCUUCAAAACUAAUAAAUGGAAACUCUAUGUUCUUAUCCCCAGCUUCAUCCGUAGACCUCAAAUAUUCUAGCAUCAUUCUCUUCUGGGCUUUCUUCUUUUUCUGUGUGCCUGCCAAUAUAUAUAUUGAUGGACUCUCCUAUCAGCUCUUACACAAUGGCAUAACGUUUUGGAAUCACGGUUUUUUUUUUCUGGCUACCUCUGUAUUUGCAUGUCCAGAUCAGGGCUGUGAAUACGAGUAGCAGCACAUAUACUAGAACCGGGAGUAAAAUCUUCAGUAAAUUGCUCUUCUUUUGAACUGCACGUGGAAAUGUAUGCAAUCAGAAUUUACUGCAUCAAGCAUAUCUUGCAGUAGUUUGAGUUCAUUCUCUAUUGAACUUUCUUCUUUUGCAGUUUGCCUGAAUAGAAACAUCAAUGGAUUCCUUUUUUUCCCUCAUCACUUACACACAUUAAUAUAUUUUUUUUUAAAACGAGGGUUCUUUUCUAUGUACCUACGCUUUUACAUAUCCGGACAAGGGCUACCAAUGCGAAUAGCAUAAGACAUGCUAUAAUUGGGAGUAAAAUCUUCAGCAAAUUGCUCUUCUUUUGAACUGUACAUGGAAGUGUAUCCCGUUAGAAUUCACUGCAUCAAGGAUUGCUCGCAGUUGUGUGAGUUUCCUUUGUAGGGGUUCUAUGACUGAUCAAUGAAUACUUUACCUCUAAAAAGAUGGACCUGUGAAUAUUCAAGAACCUAUUACGACUUACGAUUGCCUCACGGACAGUACUGAUUGGGUUUUUUGAUAUCAUGGCAUUCAGUCAGUUUUUUUAAAACGAACUAUGUAGGAGAGUUGCCAAUUAUAUUAAAAAGAAGAUGAAACCCAAACUGGGCAUAAUACAACAAAUGGAAAAAAAACAACACCAGCAAAAUGGAUUGGGGCGUCAGCUUGAAUGCUCAUACAAAUUUUGCUGCUGCAAACGAAAGUGAAUCUGGUAGUUGUUAAACUUCUUGUUUUUCUUUGGGCUACUUCAGCACAUGUUAGGAGAUAUGGUAUGGUGUAUGGUUUAUUUGAUGCCAAAUCUUGUUUUGUUUUAAAAUCCAUUAAGGACUUGAACAAAUUUGAAAUAAAUCCAGAAUUGUUCGUCUUACUAGGAUCUUACUAGUAGCCUUUGAGCGAGCACUACCUUCACAUCCAGGAAAGAAGGAUGAAGCGUACCAGGGGAUUCACCUAGCCGGAUGUACAAAUUCUCUGCAAUAAAGCUGGCCUUCUGCAUGUCGAUGAGAUCCCCUGUCCAAACCAAACACCUCGAUGUGUCGCCCGUAGUGCCAGCAUUGCUUAGGUUGGCGUAGGCAUAUGCCACACACGAGCAAUUCCUUGUGCACUCGGAUGCACACUGGUCGAAGCUUCUAUUCCUAAUGUGCAAGAACUUGUCAGGGACCUUCAUAUUAGGCAUGGUUGUGAAAUAGCUCUCCUUUCCACAUUUUAUCGCUUCCUUUCUCCGGCAUCCUCUCGAGAAGUUGAGCUGGUUGACAACCUCGAAACCGUCAGGGCAGUGGCAUGUCGGGAUUGCCUCCGUGAGGUCGCAAAAGCCGAAUGGGCCACAAGAGGCAUAGAGAUCACAAUCAGCCGUCGGACGCUCAAAGAUGACUGCCCAUGACGAUGCGGCGCUGCUCCAACUAAACAACCUCAACUUGCCUGUGUAGUCUAAUGAAAAACGCAUGUAGGGUGAGCCAGGUGAGACUGUGUACUUACAGUAUAGCUCGUCCCUUGUGCUGAUCAUCUCUUCGUACAUGAUGAUGGAGCUACCGUUGAUCUGGUAUGUGCCACCAGAUACUGAAACACCAUUAACAAUAGAGAAACGGAUGUACGGCAAAGUCCUGUUCCAAAUGAACAUCUCAAGGUUCAAGGUGGGAUCCAAGCCGCAAGAGAUAUCACCGGUUGAUGGAUCAUCAGGGCCCUUCCAAGCAAAGAAGCGUGUUGCCGCCGGCGGUGCUUUGUAUCUCAGGAUAAACCUCAUGGUUGGAAGAAUUGUGUCGGUCGGGUG